RNAcentral lists this unclassified non-coding RNA (337 nucleotides) under soil metagenome. RNAcentral describes it as "partial contains 5.8S ribosomal RNA, internal transcribed spacer 2, and large subunit ribosomal RNA". The stretch from base 1 to 120 matches the Rfam family "5.8S ribosomal RNA", at positions 35 to 154 of the family's 154-position model. The record is from RNAcentral.
GAUGAAGAACGUAGCGAAAUGCGAUAAGUAGUGUGAAUUGCAGAAUUCAGUGAAUCAUCGAAUCUUUGAACGCACAUUGCGCCCCUUGGUAUUCCAUGGGGCAUGCCUGUUCGAGCGUCAUUUGUACCUUCAAGCUCUGCUUGGUGUUGGGUGUUUGUCUCGCCUCUGCGUGUAGACUCGCCUCAAAACAAUUGGCAACCGGCGUAUUGAUUUCGGAGCGCAGUACAUCUCGCGCUUUGCACUCAUAACGACGACGUCCAAAAGUACAUUUUUACACUCUUGACCUCGGAUCAGGUAGGGAUACCCGCUGAACUUAAGCAUAUCAAUAAGCGGAGGA